RNAcentral lists this small nuclear RNA (131 nucleotides) under Octodon degus (degu). Its description in RNAcentral is "U4 spliceosomal RNA (ENSODEG00000025643.1)". It matches the Rfam family "U4 spliceosomal RNA". Rfam says of the family: U4 small nuclear RNA (U4 snRNA) is a component of the major U2-dependent spliceosome. Lineage: Eukaryota; Metazoa; Chordata; Mammalia; Rodentia; Octodontidae. The record is from Rfam by way of RNAcentral.
AGCUUCAUGCAGUGGCAGUAUUGUAGCCAAUGAGCUUUAUCUGAGGUGCGAUUAUUGCUAAUUGAAAACUUUUCCCUUUGCAAGACACUAACUCCUUCAGGAACAGAAGUCUUGGGAGCUCCGCUCUAGGC